This 431-nucleotide ribosomal RNA is filed under the name uncultured bacterium. RNAcentral describes it as "bacterial SSU rRNA". It matches the Rfam family "Bacterial small subunit ribosomal RNA", at positions 29 to 507 of the family's 1533-position model. The record is from RNAcentral.
AACGAACGCUGGCGGCAGGCCUAACACAUGCAAGUCGAGCGCCCCGCAAGGGGAGCGGCGGACGGGUGGGUAACACGUGGGAAUUUUCCUCAAGGUACGGAACAACUCAGGGAAACUUGGGCUAAUACCGUAUGAUGCAGAGAUGCCAAAGAUUUAUCGCCUUGGGAUAAGCCCGCGUCAGAUUAGGUAGUUGGUGGGGUAAUGGCCUACCAAGCCUGUGAUCUGUAGCUGGUCUGAGAGGACGAUCAGCCACAUUGGGACUGAGACACGGCCCAAACUCCUACGGGAGGCAGCAGUGGGGAAUCUUGCGCAAUGGACGAAAGUCUGACGCAGCCAUGCCGCGUGAAUGAUGAAGGUCUUAGGAUUGUAAAGUUCUUUAGCCUGUGACGAUGAUAACGGUAACAGGAGAAUAAGCCCCGGCUAACUUCGUG